CCUACGGGUGGCAGCAGUGAGGAAUAUUGGUCAAUGGGCGCGAGCCUGAACCAGCCAAGUCGCGUGAGGGAAGACGGUCCUAUGGAUUGUAAACCUCUUUUGUCGGGGAGCAAAAGACGCCACGCGUGGCGUUCCGAGAGUACCCGAAGAAAAAGCAUCGGCUAACUCCGUGCCAGCAGCCGCGGUAAUACGGAGGAUGCGAGCGUUAUCCGGAUUUAUUGGGUUUAAAGGGUGCGCAGGGGGAAGAUAAAUUCAGCGGUAAAAUUGGGAGGCUCAACCUCUUCGAGCCGUUGAAACUGGUGUUCUUGAGUGAGCGAGAAGUAUGCGGAAUGCGUGGUGGAGCGGUGAAAUGCAUAGAUAUCACGCAGAACUCCGAUUGCGAAGGCAGCAUACCGGCGCUCAACUGACGCUGAUGCACGAAAGUGUGGGUAUCGAACAGGAUUAGAUACCCUGGUAGUC
This 459-nucleotide ribosomal RNA is filed under the name uncultured bacterium. RNAcentral's name for it is "partial 16S ribosomal RNA". It matches the Rfam family "Bacterial small subunit ribosomal RNA", at positions 338 to 795 of the family's 1533-position model. The record is from RNAcentral.